GUGAAUCAUCGAAUUUUUGAACGCAAAUUGCACUCUCUUCGGAGAGUAUGCCUGUUUGAGGGUCAGCCUAAAAAAAAAUCGACAUAGUCGCUGUUUCGCGGUGACAUUCGUGGGAAAUUGGGUCAUCUUAAACCUUUGGGUUUUAAGCGGCUUAAAAUUUUCUUUAAGUUUGCACGAACGUUUUUAAGAUUUAUUUAUUAUAUGUUGAAGGUGUGGAUCUUGUUUAGACGUGGCCGUUG
Molecule: unclassified non-coding RNA, 239 nt
Filed under: Glomus sp.
Lineage: Eukaryota; Fungi; Glomeromycota; Glomeromycetes; Glomerales; Glomeraceae
Description: partial contains 5.8S ribosomal RNA and internal transcribed spacer 2
Rfam family: 5.8S ribosomal RNA (bases 1-65)
Source: RNAcentral